Molecule: ribosomal RNA, 422 nt
Filed under: uncultured archaeon
Lineage: Archaea
Description: partial 16S ribosomal RNA
Rfam family: Archaeal small subunit ribosomal RNA
Source: RNAcentral
CUACGGGGGGCAGCAGGCGAGAAAACUUUGCAAUGUGCGAAAGCACGACAAGGUUAAUCCGAGUGGUUUCUGCUAAAGGAACCUUUUGUCGGUCCUAGAAACACCGAUGAAUAAGGGGUGGGCAAGUUCUGGUGUCAGCCGCCGCGGUAAAACCAGCACCUCAAGUGGUCAGGAUGAUUAUUGGGCCUAAAGCAUCCGUAGCCGGCUCUGUAAGCUUUCGGUUAAAUCUGUAUGCUCAACAUACAGGCUGCCGGGAAUACUGCAUAGCUAGGGAGUGGGAGAGGUAGACGGUACUCGGUAGGAAGGGGUAAAAUCCUUUGAUCUAUUGAUGACCACCUGUGGCGAAGGCGGUCUACCAGAACACGUCCGACGGUGAGGGAUGAAAGCUGGGGGAGCAAACCGGAUUAGAUACCCUAGUAGUC